RNAcentral lists this ribosomal RNA (406 nucleotides) under uncultured bacterium. RNAcentral's name for it is "partial 16S ribosomal RNA". It matches the Rfam family "Bacterial small subunit ribosomal RNA", at positions 28 to 526 of the family's 1533-position model. The record is from RNAcentral.
GAUGAACGCUAGCUACAGGCUUAACACAUGCAAGUCGAGGGACCGGCGCACGGGUGAGUAACACGUAUCCACCCUGCCCUUUACUCGGGGAUAGCCUUUCGAAAGAAAGAUUAAUACCCGAUAUAAAGGAUGGGGAUGCGUUGUAUUAGGUUGUUUGUGAGGUAACAGCUCACCAAACCUUCGCUGGAUAGGGGUUCAGAGAGGAAGGGCCCCCACAUUUGAACUGAGACACGGUCCAAACUACUACGGGAGGCAGCAGUGAGGGAUAAUGGUCAAUGGGAGCUAACCUGCACCAGCCAAUUAGCGUGAAGGAUGAAGGCUUAUGGGUCGUAAACUUCUUUUAUAUAAGAAUAUGUAUUAUAUGAAUAAGGAUCGGCUAACUCCGUGACAGCAGCCGCGGUAAUUC